This 484-nucleotide ribosomal RNA is filed under the name uncultured bacterium. Its description in RNAcentral is "partial 16S ribosomal RNA". It matches the Rfam family "Bacterial small subunit ribosomal RNA", at positions 30 to 507 of the family's 1533-position model. The record is from RNAcentral.
AUUGAACGCUGGCGGCAGGCCUAACACAUGCAAGUCGAGCGGAUGAAGGGAGCUUGCUCCUGGAUUCAGCGGCGGACGGGUGAGUAAUGCCUAGGAAUCUGCCUGGUAGUGGGGGAUAACGUCCGGAAACGGGCGCUAAUACCGCAUACGCCCUGAGGGAGAAAGUGGGGGAUCUUCGGACCUCACGCUAUCAGAUGAGCCUAGGUCGGAUUAGCUAGUUGGUGGGGUAAAGGCCUACCAAGGCGACGAUCCGUAACUGGUCUGAGAGGAUGAUCAGUCACACUGGAACUGAGACACGGUCCAGACUCCUACGGGAGGCAGCAGUGGGGAAUAUUGGACAAAGGGCGAAAGCCUGAUCCAGCCAUGCCGCGUGUGUGAAGAAGGUCUUCGGAUUGUAAAGCACUUUAAGUUGGGAGGAAGGGCAGUAAGUUAAUACCUUGCUGUUUUGACGUUACCAACAGAAUAAGCACCGGCUAACUUCGUG